UACGAAGGGGGCUAGCGUUGUUCGGAUUUACUGGGCGUAAAGCGCACGUAGGCGGAUUGUUAAGUCGGGGGUGAAAUCCUGGAGCUCAAUUUCAGAAUUGCCUUCGAUACUGGCUUUCUAGAGGCUGGAAGAGGUUAGUGGAAUUCCCAGUGUAGAGGUGAAAUUCGUAGAUAUUGGGAAGAACACCAGUGGCGAAGGCGGCUAACUGGUCCAGAUCUGACGCUGAGGUGCGAAAGCGUGGGGAGCAAACAGG
RNAcentral lists this ribosomal RNA (253 nucleotides) under uncultured bacterium. Its description in RNAcentral is "partial 16S ribosomal RNA". It matches the Rfam family "Bacterial small subunit ribosomal RNA", at positions 524 to 776 of the family's 1533-position model. The record is from RNAcentral.